ACGCUUACCUGGCAAGAGAGAUACCAUGAUCAUAAAGGUGGUUUUCCCAGAAUGAGAUGUAUCCAUUGCUGACCCUUGCAGCUUCCCAAAAUGUACAUAAGUCCUGGUAUUAGAGGACUGUAUUCCCACUGUCUUCUG
RNAcentral lists this small nuclear RNA (138 nucleotides) under Dipodomys ordii (Ord's kangaroo rat). RNAcentral describes it as "U1 spliceosomal RNA (ENSDORG00000025958.1)". It matches the Rfam family "U1 spliceosomal RNA". Rfam says of the family: U1 is a small nuclear RNA (snRNA) component of the spliceosome (involved in pre-mRNA splicing). Its 5' end forms complementary base pairs with the 5' splice junction, thus defining the 5' donor site of an intron. Lineage: Eukaryota; Metazoa; Chordata; Mammalia; Rodentia; Heteromyidae. The record is from RNAcentral.